Molecule: long non-coding RNA, 820 nt
Organism: Bos taurus (domestic cattle)
Lineage: Eukaryota; Metazoa; Chordata; Mammalia; Artiodactyla; Bovidae
Source: Ensembl
ACUUCUUCCAUGACAAGCGUGCUUAUGACAUCUUAUGCCAUGCCCCAAUAAGCUAACAGAGGAAGACGAUAUUAAAGUGUCUGGCAAUAGCCCUUGGUUGUGAAUAUAGUAUUCUGAAAGACUGGUUUCUCCAAGGCAACCAUACCUGAUCUGAUUAUUGCUCUUAGUUUCAAAAAGCAAUAGAAGAGAGCAUGGAACACGCUGAAUGGUAACAUCGCUCUAUGGACGCUGUAAAGGGCCUGGGAGAUCCACCCACCGCCACUGCAAUGGGAAUACUGACCACUGAUGGAUCACACCAAGCUCCUCUCCAGGAACUGCCUUCAGCUGAAUAGAGCUGCCCUGCUGCAGAAUACAACCCUCCGGAGAAACGCCAGUAUUCAGGGAUUCAUUGCUAUGAGGAUCCCCAAUGCUUACAAUCAGCUCUACAGUGCCCUCCUGUGGCCUCACUUGCAAUUGUGUUGCAGCUAGACAGCUCCCUCCACCCCAGUCUGGUCCCUUUACUUCCUUCCAGGUGUCCAUCAAGGAGCAUCUUCCCCAACAAACCACCUGCAUACAAAUUUACACCCCAUAGUCUGUUCCCCAGGGUACACGACCUGAAACAUUUCUCCAGAGUCUCUUUCCAGCAUAAUAGCUACAGUUCUCCUCUUCAAAGUCAGGCCAUUCCUCCUGUUGAGAUCCCUUCAAUGACUUCCAUCUCAUCACUUUCAAAGGACAAGAGCCUUGCCAUUUGCACACCAGGCCCAUUACCUCUUUGACCUUAUCUCCUACUCCUCUGCCCCCACACUGGCUUCCUGGCUGUUCCUCAAACAUACUGGGUACC